RNAcentral lists this ribosomal RNA (939 nucleotides) under Triticum aestivum (bread wheat). RNAcentral describes it as "partial small subunit ribosomal RNA". The record is from RNAcentral. Lineage: Eukaryota; Viridiplantae; Streptophyta; Magnoliopsida; Poales; Poaceae.
AUGGCGGCCACCAAGAAGAGGGAGAUGGUGUUCUUCGACGUGGAGGCGGCGCCGUCGUCCGGCGAGUGCCGCCUGCUGGAGUUCGCCGCCAUCCUCGUCUGCCCGCGCCGCCUCGUCGAGGUCUCCAGCUACUCCACCCUCAUCCGCCCGGACAACGCUGCCGCCGACGGCAGCAGCCUCCCCUCCUCGACCCCCUCGUUCGAGGACGUCUUCCCGGACAUCUUCGAGCUGCUGGACGGCCGGGUGUGGGCGGGCCACGGCAUCCGGCGCGCCGGCUGCCCGCGCGUGCGCGAGGCCUUCGCCGCCUUCGGCCUGCCCGCGCCGGAGCCCGUCGGCGUCGUCGACUCCCUCGACGUGCUCCUCGCGCAGGGCGCGCAGGGGUGCUUCGCGCGGGCCGGCGCCGGGGACGACGGCCAGGAGGAGGACGAGGAGGCGGCGGCGGCGGCCCUGGCGGAGCACUUCGGGAUCGGCGCGCGGCGCGCGCGCGGGCUCCGGUGCCUCGACGGCGCGCGCGUGAGCCUCGAGGUGCUCAAGCACUGCGCCGGCGUGCUGCUCCUCGAGGCCAGCCUCCGCGGCGACGUCCCCGCCGGCGCCAGGGGCAGGAGCAAGCCGGCGGCGACUCCUGCUAAGCCCGAAGGCAACAACAACACGUUGGAGAAGGCGUUUGCCCUCGCGGCGGCCAAAUCGACGACACCGGCGAAGGCGGCCACGGCCCCUCCUCCUCCGUCUCCUGCUGCUUCUACUUCUCCGGCGGCUGUCCAGAACGUGAAGACGAGCACGGGGAAGAGGGACAGCACGGGGAAGGUGGUUGUGGUAGCGAAGAAGGGAGCGACGGCGGCGACCGUGACGACGACGACGGCUACCGGGGGUCGCCGUGUGCGGCCGCCGGCGCCACCGUUCAGCAUGGUCCUCAGGCACUCAAGGGCCGUCAUCAGAUGA